AUUUCUCAACCUCACCAGCUUUUGUUGUGUGAAGGCUUGGAUGUGGGGGUUGCAGGUCCGCAUUUAUGUGGUCUGCUCCUCUAAAACGUAUUAGUGGGUUAGUCCCCUAAUCUAUUGGUGUGAUAAUUAUCUACGCCGUGGAUUUGGAUGGCUAUUAUAGACCCGCUUCUAACCGUCCCUCGGGACAAUUUUGACAC
Molecule: unclassified non-coding RNA, 197 nt
Filed under: Coprinopsis lagopus
Lineage: Eukaryota; Fungi; Basidiomycota; Agaricomycetes; Agaricales; Psathyrellaceae
Description: partial internal transcribed spacer 2
Source: RNAcentral